CUAGCCGUAAACGAUGGAUACUAGGCGUUGUGAGUAUCGACCCUCACAGUGUCGUAGCUAACGCGUUAAGUAUCCCGCCUGGGGAGUACGCGCGCAAGCGUGAAACUCAAAGGAAUUGACGGGGGCCCGCACAAGCGGUGGAGUAUGUGGUUUAAUUCGAUGCAACGCGAAGAACCUUACCAGGACUUGACAUGUCGCGAAUCUCAGGGAAACCUGAGAGUGCCUUCGGGAGCGCGAACACAGGUGGUGC
This 250-nucleotide ribosomal RNA is filed under the name uncultured Chroococcidiopsis sp. Its description in RNAcentral is "partial 16S ribosomal RNA". It matches the Rfam family "Bacterial small subunit ribosomal RNA", at positions 796 to 1044 of the family's 1533-position model. Lineage: Bacteria; Bacillati; Cyanobacteriota; Cyanophyceae; Chroococcidiopsidales; Chroococcidiopsidaceae. The record is from RNAcentral.